RNAcentral lists this ribosomal RNA (253 nucleotides) under uncultured bacterium. Its description in RNAcentral is "partial 16S ribosomal RNA". It matches the Rfam family "Bacterial small subunit ribosomal RNA", at positions 524 to 776 of the family's 1533-position model. The record is from RNAcentral.
GACGAACCGUGCGAACGUUGUUCGGAAUCACUGGGCUUAAAGGGCGCGUAGGCGGGUCAGCAAGUCAGGGGUGAAAGCCCACGGCUCAACCGUGGAAGUGCCUUUGAUACUGCUGGUCUUGAGGGAGGUAGGGGCGUGCGGAACUUCCGGUGGAGCGGUGAAAUGCGUAGAUAUCGGAAGGAACACCGGUGGCGAAAGCGGCGCGCUGGAUCUCUACUGACGCUGAGGCGCGAAAGCCAGGGGAGCAAACGGG